Molecule: microRNA, 23 nt
Filed under: Gallus gallus (chicken)
Lineage: Eukaryota; Metazoa; Chordata; Aves; Galliformes; Phasianidae
Description: gga-miR-1596-5p
Source: miRBase by way of RNAcentral
AUUCUCCUUCAAUCCAUCUUUGU